RNAcentral lists this transfer RNA (71 nucleotides) under Myroides marinus. RNAcentral's name for it is "tRNA-Cys". It matches the Rfam family "tRNA". Rfam says of the family: Transfer RNA (tRNA) molecules are approximately 80 nucleotides in length. Their secondary structure includes four short double-helical elements and three loops (D, anti-codon, and T loops). RNAcentral also lists the same sequence under 1 other name. Lineage: Bacteria; Pseudomonadati; Bacteroidota; Flavobacteriia; Flavobacteriales; Flavobacteriaceae. The record is from RNAcentral.
GGUUCUGUGGCUGAGUGGUUAGGCCUGGUUACGCAAUAGCCAGUAGAUUGGUUCGAAUCCAGUCGGAACCU